GUCCAUCUAGGUUUAACCCUGCCUGCUGUAAACAUAGCAGUUUCAGAGAAACUGCUAUGUUUACAUUAGGGUUAAUCCAGCCUCUAGAGGCUGUCUCAUUGACAGCCGCUAGAGGCGCUUCUGCGCUUCUCACUGUGAUUUUCACAGUGAGAAGACGCCAGCGUCCACAGGAAAGCAUUGAGAAAUGCUUUCCUAUGGACUGACUGAAUGCGAUGAAGUCGGAAGAGGGAGGAGAGUCCCCAGCGCCUGGUACUGGAGAAAGGUAAGUGUUUAACCCCUUCCUCCCCCUAGAGCCUGGUGGGAGGGGGACCAUGAGGGUGGGGGGGACCUAUUAACACUAUAGUGCCAGGAAAACGAGUUUGUUUUCCUGGCACUAUAGUGGUCCUUUAAGGUCUAACAUAAAUUUUAAAUCUGCUCGAGGACCAUCGACCCACUUUCUUAACCGACUCAUUCAAGAGACCAUGUGAUACAGCCUCUGUUGCAGCACCUUUACGAAAUGAAUGAGAUGUAAUCCUUUUAUCAUCAAUAUCCAACCCUUUACAUGAUAACUGAAGAACUUUUCAAAAUUUACCUUUACCUUGCGCACCAGCCACUUAUAACGUGGCCCACCUACCUGCCCUAACUCCUGAUAGAUCAGGAAAAGCACCCACUAACAUGCGGUUCUUGGACAUAUCAUUUGAUGGCACAAUUUACUUAGACUGCACAAACCAGUGGCUAAACCGAUAUCCGUACUGAACACGGACCUCAAACUUCUGGCGAGCGUACUGGCGGCACGCCUGGCUCCUUUACUACCAGCCACAAUCCACCCAGAUCAAACGGGCUUCAUCCCAGGCAGGGAGGUGAGGGACAACACUAUAAGGGCCCUAAACCUCAUAGCACACGCGAGAGGGCAGAAGACCCCAGUACUACUCCUGUCCACUGACGCAGAGAAAGCGUUUGAUAGGGUGGACUGGGACCUGAUGUUUGAAACACUCCGCUCCCUGGGCAUCGGCCCACACUACAUGGCCUGGGUACAGACACUCUACACCGACCCAACGGCACGAAUCUGGAUCAAUGGUGCACUAACAGACCUGUUUAAGAUCCACAACGGAACCAGACAGGGCUGCCCGCUUUCGCCCAUACUCUUUGCGCUGACGCUGGAGCCCUUCCUAAGCAGGAUCAGACAAAACGAGGACGUCCGGGGACGGACAGUCGGAAACACACACCACAAAACUCUGGCAUAUGCGGAUGACAUGCUGUUCGUGGUCACGGACCCUGAAAAAUCGCUGCGAGCGAUACAGAGAGAAUUCGACAUAUAUGGCCGCAUCUCGAACCUCCGAAUCAACUACACAAAAUCGGAGAUACUGAACUUAAAUAUUAGCAACACACUCAAGCUAAUGAUUCAGAGACAACAACCAUAUCGCUGGUGUGAUUACCGCAUUAAAUAUUUGGGGAUCUGGCUCACACCUGACCCGGGGGAUUUAUACACCCAUAACUACCUCCCAAUAUUAAAAAAAGCAAAGGAGGAAUUACAUAGAUGGGGCUCCUACUACAUAUCCUGGCUGGGCAGGGUGAACGUGGUAAAAAUGACGCUGCUACCGAAGCUACUCUUCAUAUUUCAAACAGUACCGAUAAGAGCCCCACAAACGUUCUUCGCGACACUCAAGACGGAGGUCCGCACUUUUAUCUGGAAUGGCAAAUCUCCGCGCAUAGCGCACACCCAACUGAUCCUGCCCAAGCUCAGGGGGGGCCUAGCGCUCCCCGACUUUGAAAAAUACUACCACGCGGCACACAUCGCCAGAGUCGUCAGUUGGUCGGUAGCCAGCGGCACCAAACCAUGGACACAACUAGAAGCAGACACGACCAGCUGUGACCUCAGAACCCUACCAUGGAUCACCAGGGCAGCGUACAGGAGCAAACAUAUCACCAACCCAUUCGUGGCGGCGACCAUGCAAGUUUGGCACGGACAAGGCACAAAACAUUACCUGACAACAGACCCAGGCCUGCUCCUGCCCCUAAAGGGAAACCCAGACUUCCCAGCAAGGGACUACGGCCCCACGCCAGGCCCUGCGGGACAUACAACAAUACCCCGCAUUAAAGAUGUCCUCCUCCACCCGUUCGACAUCCGACCACUGGUAGACAUCUACCCAGGCAGACCACACACAUUCGCUCACACUCUAGCAAGAGUACAAAAUUACCCAAUACGCUAGAUCCAUCCCGCAACAACCAUCCAUUACAAGUGAACCAACCCAAUUCGAAAAUCUCUGCACACAAGACAAAGAACCACCGCGAGCCAUCUCACAAAUAUAUACUAUCUUAAUAACGAACAGAUACCUACUAGCGCCACCGUGCAUCAGAAAGUGGGAGGAAGACCUUGAGGAAACCAUGACGGAAGCGGACAGAAGCAUCACCCUGAUACAAAAAACACCAAGCUCGGCGCGCACACAAGAAAACUCGUACAAGAUAUUUACCAGAUGGUACCUGACACCGACGGCACUCCACGCCAGGAACCUGGGAAAUCCCAGAAACAUGCUGGAGAUGCGAGGAGGAGACCGGUACAUUCACACACAUAUGGUGGACAUGCACCCGCAUUAGACCGUUCUGGGAAAGAAUCCGGACGAUAAUACAUGAGGUUACGGAUGAGCUCCUGCCACAGUCCCCAGCCACUUUCCUUCUACACUAUACCACUAUGGCGACACCAACAUACAAGAGAUCUGUUAUUCCCAGACUCCUAAACGCGGCAAAGGUGACCAUCCCCAUCUGUUGGAAACAAACCAGCACGCCUUCCAUAACAAAGUGGAUAGAGGAGGUUGAAGCCACAAGGACAUUCGAGGACAUGAAAGCAGAAACUGCGAACCUCAGAGACCGUCACACCAAACGCUGGUUCCACUGGACGAGGCUAACUACGUCAGAAUCCUUCAGACAUCACCUAACUGCGCCGUAAGCGGAGACGGGAGGACGAGGGAGAGAGAAAUACAAAAAAACGAACUGAAGACAGCGAGACACGGCGAGCCGGGCGGGCGACAGGAGGC
This is a non-coding RNA of Pelobates cultripes (western spadefoot toad), 3011 nucleotides long. Lineage: Eukaryota; Metazoa; Chordata; Amphibia; Anura; Pelobatidae. The record is from the annotation of a GenBank genome assembly.